UCUCUUUGCUGUCUCAUGGUAAAAAAAUCCAGUGGAAAGUUGACCCUCAGCCCCUCCUUUUCCUCCCAUUUGAAACCCACCAGGACAGACCCGGUCCGGCCGUCUUCAGGCAGAGGCGAUUCCAGCUGGGAUUUUCCUGUCACUCAGCUGAGCUCCUGAUCCCUCCUGAAAGCAGCCAACUUGGUUAAACAGUUCUUGCUUUUGCAUGGGAGUAGAUGUAACAAAUAUCCCAGAAACAUCAGGUUAUGCACAUCAGUCUUUGCAAAGGUAGUGGAGAAGAUGGACAUGUUUGAAGACCACUCAGAGAAACCUCAGCAUUAGCAGUGGGAGAAGUGGCACAUGAAGUCAAAGUGAAACCAAUCUGAUUUACGCUUUUGAGUAAAAUAUUGUAUUGAAGUUGCAUUUUGGUGUAAUAAAGCUACAGCUCAGGAGAAUGUCUUACCUUUAGGCUCAAGAGGUCUGGUGUCCAAUGGUUGCUCUGACAGUCUGUGAAAUCAAAGGAUGCUCUUUCACUAGAAGGAGUCAAAAGGACUGAAAUCCACAUGGCUACAGGAAGAGUUUUAGCCGAAGACUGAAUGUUUCAAAUUUGUGUGAUAGACUUGUCUGUAUUGAUCCUGCUUUCAUAUAAAAAAA
Vidua chalybeata is the source of this 633-nucleotide long non-coding RNA. RefSeq lists it as uncharacterized. Lineage: Eukaryota; Metazoa; Chordata; Aves; Passeriformes; Viduidae. The transcript is spliced from 4 exons. The record is from RefSeq and is a predicted model, not a curated record.